ACAGUCAGGCAACGAGCGAGACCCCUGCGUCUAGUUGCUACCAUUACUCUCUGGAGCAGUGGAGCGAAUUAGACGGACCGCCACAGUUAAUGUGGAGGAAGGAAGGGGCCACGGCAGGUCAGUAUGCCCCGAAACCCUAGGGCUACACGCGGGCUGCAAUGGUAUUGACAAUGUGUUCCGAAUCCGAAAGGAGGAGGCAAUCAUCAAACAAUAUCUCAGUUAUGACUGAGGGCUGUAACUCGCCCUCACGAAUAUGGAAUCCCUAGUAACCGCGCGUCACCACCGCGCGGUGAAUACGUCCCUGCUCCUUGCACGAAUUCGCCG
Molecule: ribosomal RNA, 324 nt
Filed under: uncultured Thermoprotei archaeon
Lineage: Archaea; Thermoproteati; Thermoproteota; Thermoprotei
Description: bacterial SSU rRNA
Rfam family: Archaeal small subunit ribosomal RNA
Source: RNAcentral